CCAGAACCUUGCUGUGUCUGUGCCGUGU
Molecule: non-coding RNA, 28 nt
Filed under: Homo sapiens (human)
Lineage: Eukaryota; Metazoa; Chordata; Mammalia; Primates; Hominidae
Source: RNAcentral